UACAGGGGGGGCAAGCGUUGUUCGGAAUUACUGGGCGUAAAGGGCUUGUAGGUGGCCAAUUAAGUCAGACGUGAAAUCCCUCAGCUUAACCGGGGAACUGCGUCUGAUACUGGAUGGCUUGAGUUUGGGAGAGGGAUGCGGAAUUCCAGGUGUAGCGGUGAAAUGCGUAGAUAUCUGGAGGAACACCGGUGGCGAAGGCGGCAUCCUGGACCAACACUGACGCUGAGUGAGCGAAAGCCAGGGGAGCAAACGGG
This 254-nucleotide ribosomal RNA is filed under the name uncultured bacterium. RNAcentral describes it as "partial 16S ribosomal RNA". It matches the Rfam family "Bacterial small subunit ribosomal RNA", at positions 524 to 776 of the family's 1533-position model. The record is from RNAcentral.